GCUGGGUGUGGUGACACAUGCCUGUAAUCCCAGAGACUUGGGAGGCUGAGGCAGGAGGAUGACAAGAUUGAAGCCAGCCUCAA
RNAcentral lists this small RNA (83 nucleotides) under Marmota monax (woodchuck). Lineage: Eukaryota; Metazoa; Chordata; Mammalia; Rodentia; Sciuridae. The record is from RNAcentral.